GAAAGAUUUAUCGUAACAUCACUCCACUUUUUAAUUACAUGGUUUGAUGUUUUGGUGGCUAGCUUCUUGAGUUCAUUGUAUAUUUUGGAUAUCAAUCCUCUGUCAGAUAUCAAGAAGGAAUCAUGUCCUUUUUGAGGAGACAAGGUCAAGACUGCAAACCAGAAAGAAAAGAAAAAGGGAAUCACCAGGAAGAAAAAGGAUACAGCCAAGGUCACAGAAGGAAAAGAAUGAUGGAGAAUGAGCACCAGCAGAGUAACUUUGUAUUCUUAGCUCUUUGGUACACCUUCUCUCAAGUAAACAUUGGGAUGAAUAAGAUCACUUUGUUGUCCCUCAGCACUUUUGCUGCAAAU
This 350-nucleotide long non-coding RNA is filed under the name Cricetulus griseus (Chinese hamster). RNAcentral describes it as "lncRNA (ENSCGRG00015035170.1)". Lineage: Eukaryota; Metazoa; Chordata; Mammalia; Rodentia; Cricetidae. The record is from RNAcentral.